Molecule: ribosomal RNA, 278 nt
Filed under: uncultured prokaryote
Description: partial 16S ribosomal RNA
Rfam family: Bacterial small subunit ribosomal RNA
Source: RNAcentral
UACGUAGGUGGCGAGCGUUGUCCGGAAUUACUGGGUGUAAAGGGCGCGUAGGCGGGUAUGCAAGUUGGAUGUGAAAUUCCGGGGCUUAACUCCGGAUUGUCAUCUAAAACUGUGUAUCUUGAGUGUCAGAGGGGAAAGUGGAAUUCCUAGUGGAGUGGUAAAAUGCGUAGAUAUUAGGAGGAACACCAGUGGCGAAGGCGACUUACUGGACUGUAACUGACGCUGAGUCACGAAAGCGUGGGUAGCAAACAGGAUUAGAUACCCGUGUAGUCCCUGAG